This 440-nucleotide ribosomal RNA is filed under the name uncultured bacterium. Its description in RNAcentral is "partial 16S ribosomal RNA". It matches the Rfam family "Bacterial small subunit ribosomal RNA", at positions 338 to 795 of the family's 1533-position model. The record is from RNAcentral.
CCUACGGGUGGCAGCAGUGGGGAAUAUUGCACAAUGGGGGAAACCCUGAUGCAGCGACGCCGCGUGAGUGAAGAAGUAUCUCGGUACGUAAAGCUCUAUCAGCAGGGAAGAAAAUGACGGUACCUGACUAAGAAGCCCCGGCUAACUACGUGCCAGCAGCCGCUGUAAUACGUAGGGGGCAAGCGUUAUCCGGAUUUACUGGGUGUAAAGGGAGCGUAGACGGCAGCGCAAGUCUGGAGUGAAAGCCCGGGGCCCAACCCCGGGACUGCUCUUGGAACUGCGUGGCUGGAGUGCAGGAGGGGCAGGCGGAAUUCCUGGUGUAGCGGUGAAAUGCGUAGAUAUCAGGAGGAACACCGGUGGCGAAGGCGGCCUGCUGGACUGCAACUGACGUUGAGGCCCGAAAGCGUGGGGAGCAAACAGGAUUAGAUACCCUUGUAGUC